Molecule: ribosomal RNA, 449 nt
Filed under: uncultured bacterium
Lineage: Bacteria
Description: partial 16S ribosomal RNA
Rfam family: Bacterial small subunit ribosomal RNA
Source: RNAcentral
AACGAACGCUGGCGGCAGGCCUAACACAUGCAAGUCGAACGCUCCAGCAAUGGAGAGUGGCAGACGGGUGAGUAACGCGUGGGAACCUUCCCUAUGGUUCGGAAUAGCCCAGGGAAACUUGGGGUAAUACCGAAUAAGCCCUUCGGGGGAAAGAUUUAUCGCCAUUGGAUGGGCCCGCGUCGGAUUAGCUAGUCGGUGGGGUAACGGCCUACCAAGGCGACGAUCCGUAGCUGGUCUGAGAGGAUGAUCAGCCACACUGGGACUGAGACACGGCCCAGACUCCUACGGGAGGCAGCAGUGGGGAAUAUUGGACAAUGGGCGCAAGCCUGAUCCAGCCAUGCCGCGUGAGUGACGAAGGCCUUAGGGUUGUAAAGCUCUUUUGGCGGGGAAGAUAAUGACGGUACCCGCAGAAUAAGCUCCGGCUAACUUCGUGCCAGCAGCCGCGGUAA